Molecule: ribosomal RNA, 494 nt
Filed under: uncultured bacterium
Lineage: Bacteria
Description: partial 16S ribosomal RNA
Rfam family: Bacterial small subunit ribosomal RNA
Source: RNAcentral
GACGAACGCUGGCGGCGUGCUUAACACAUGCAAGUCGAACGGAAAGGCCUGCUUUCCCUUGUGGCUUACGGGUACUCGAGUGGCGAACGGGUGAGUAACACGUGAGUGAUCUGCCCCCAACUUGGGUAUAAGCCUGGGAAACUGGGUCUAAUUCCCGAUAGGACUGCAGGGUGGUGCCUGUGGUGGAAAACGAUUUUCUAGUGGUUGGGGAUGAGCUCGCGGCCUAUCAGCUUGUUGGUGGGGUAAUGGCCUACCAAGGCGGCGACGGGUAGCCGGCCUGAGAGGGUGGACGGCCACAUUGGGACUGAGAUACGGCCCAGACUCCUACGGGAGGCAGAAGUGGGGAAUAUUGCACAAUGGGCGGAAGCCUGAUGCAGCGACGCCGCGUGGGGGAUGACGGCCUUCGGGUUGUAAACUCCUUUCGACCGCGAGGAAGCCACCUGGUUGGAAGGGUGGUGACGGUAGUGGUAGAAGAAGCACCGGCUAACUACGUG